Molecule: ribosomal RNA, 117 nt
Filed under: Sinocyclocheilus grahami
Lineage: Eukaryota; Metazoa; Chordata; Actinopteri; Cypriniformes; Cyprinidae
Source: RNAcentral
AUCAGCAGCCAUAUCACCCUGUAGCCCAAGACUGGUUGCCCACUGAAGCUAAGCAGGGCUGAGCCUGGUCAGUACCUGGAUGGGAGACCUCCUGAGAAAGCUAGGUUGCUGCUGGAA